UGGGGAAUAUUGCACAAUGGGCGAAAGCCUGAUGCAGCGACGCCGCGUGCGGGAUGAAGGCCUUCGGGUUGUAAACCGCUUUUGAUUGGGAGCAAGCGAGAGUGAGUGUACCUUUCGAAUAAGCACCGGCUAACUACGUGCCAGCAGCCGCGGUAAUACGUAGGGUGCAAGCGUUAUCCGGAAUUAUUGGGCGUAAAGAGCUCGUAGGCGGUUUGUCGCGUCUGGUGUGAAAGUCCAUCGCUUAACGGCGGAUCUGCGCCGGGUACGGGCAGGCUAGAGUGCGACAGGGGAGACUGGAAUUCCCGGUGUAACGGUGGAAUGUGUAGAUAUCGGGAAGAACACCAAUGGCGAAGGCAGGUCUCUGGGUCGUCACUGACGCUGAGGAGCGAAAGCGUGGGGAGCGAACAGGAUUAGAUACCCUGGUAGUCCACGCCGUAAACGGUGGAUGCUGGAUGUGGGGCCCAUUCCACGGGUUCCGUGUCGGAGCUAACGCGUUAAGCAUCCGCCUGGGGAGUACGGCCGCAAGGCUAAA
This 532-nucleotide ribosomal RNA is filed under the name uncultured bacterium. RNAcentral's name for it is "partial 16S ribosomal RNA". It matches the Rfam family "Bacterial small subunit ribosomal RNA", at positions 355 to 898 of the family's 1533-position model. The record is from RNAcentral.